CCUACGGGAGGCAGCAGUGAGGAAUAUUGGUCAAUGGACGCGAGUCUGAACCAGCCACGUAGCGUGAAGGAUGACUGCCCUCUGGGUUGUAACCUUCUUUUAUAAAGGAAUAAAACGAGGCACGUGUGCCUUUUUGCAUGUACUUUAUGAAUAAGGAUCGGCUAACUCCGUGCCAGCAGCCGCGGUAAUACGGAGGAUCCGAGCGUUAUCCGGAUUUAUUGGGUUUAAAGGGAGCGUAGAUGGGUUGUUAAGUCAGUUGUGAAAGUUUGCGGCUCAACCGUAAAAUUGCAAUUGAUACUGGCAGUCUUGAGUACAGUUGAGGUAGGCGGAAUUCGUGGUGUAGCGGUGAAAUGCUUAGAUAUCACGAAGAACCCCGAUUGCGAAGGCAGCUUACUAAACUGUGACUGACAUUGAUGCUCGAAAGUGUGGGUAUCAAACAGGAUUAGAUACCCGUGUAGUC
RNAcentral lists this ribosomal RNA (460 nucleotides) under uncultured bacterium. RNAcentral's name for it is "partial 16S ribosomal RNA". It matches the Rfam family "Bacterial small subunit ribosomal RNA", at positions 338 to 795 of the family's 1533-position model. The record is from RNAcentral.